ACGGGGAGGGGUGUCGCUGCCUCUCCUUUGGGUCUGGGAUGACCCCAGUGCACUGGAACAACACAUUCCUCUUGCUUUUUGCAUCGAUCCAGGCUCCACGUGGUUCACUCAGGGGGUCCCCAGGAAGCUAAGGCUCCCUGGAGUCUUACAGUCCAGGAAGCCACUGAAAAGCUCUCUAGAGGGAAGACGAUAGCCUGACUCCACCCACGUGGGUCACUGUGUGGCCUUCAUACAGAGAGCAGCAGGUCAUCACAGCAGUGCCACGGUGAGAUGAUGAGGCAGCACAGCCGGGGUGGGCAGGUUUACGAUGUCUCGGAGAAGAGACCUCACUUGCUGAGGAGCGCAAUAGCCAGGGACAGGAGGAGUCCAGACUGAUUCCAACUUAGACUGGAGAAAAGAUGCAGACGAUGGAGCCGUGUCCUUGCUGGGCGAAGCCUGGGGGGGGAAGCUGGCCUGAGGGACGGAAUGUAAGGAGCUAAAAGCCCUGGUUCCCGUGAGGUUGAAGAUGCUUCUGGGCUUUUAAGAAGAAAGUGAAGGCUGCUAGUGUCAUCUGCAGCCUGGGGCCUGAGGAUGGCUCUGGUUGGUACUUCAGAUCUGCCAGCCACCUGCUGAAGAAGCGGGGGUGGGAGGGUGCGGCAAGCGUGGGCUGCAAGAUGAGAGGAAGGAAGGGGAAGAAGCACGGUGGGAGAGGCAAAGAGGGAGACCUUGAGAAAGCUCUCCACUCAGGUGUAGGUGUAUCGAAGGGAGAAGGGACAAGGGACUGCAAGCGUUGAGCUCCAUCCACGUGGUGUAGCACGCCUAUCAUCUCAGGACCAAGGAAGCUGAGGCCAGCCUGAGCUACAGACAGUGAAAACCAAAGAUAGGAGAGAGAGAGAGAGAGAGAGAGAGAGAGAGAGAGAGAGAGAGAGAGAGUGUGUGUCUCAGUUGGGAGAGGUUUGCUGAGCGUCCACAAAACUCUGGGCUCAUUCCCCAGCACUGUAAACAAGGCAUGGUGGUGUCAGCCUUUAAGCUUAGCAUUUAGGAGAUGGAGGAUCUGAAGCUUAAGGUCGCUUUAAGCUACAUAAUGACCCAGCCUCCAACGCACAUAACAGGAAGUGGCUCAAAAGGGACUCCACCUAGGAAAGGGUGUGCGCGAAGAAAUUAAGAAAUGGAAGAAAGGGCUGAGGGAGAGGUCGAAUGAACACAGGCGGCUGUUUCAGGAGCCCAGUGGGGAAAAGUUUAAACACAGUGACUUAAUGAGAAGGCCAAAGUUAGGCUUUAAAUUUAUGAUUACUGUCCCUAAGAGAGCCAUAGAACAAAAAAAACCGCCUCUAACCCGAAAGCCCAUUGCCCCCAACCAGGUAACAUCCUGGGAUGCUGUUGUUCAUGUUAGGUAACGAGCCCCAAGUUCUCACUCUGGUAAACAAGGUUAGGUAAACAAGGUUAGUUGCCCCGACGACGCACAGGCGGAUGUGCUUGAUAACACGUGGGCAGGAGGUGCACAGGCAGGACGUAGGCUUGAUUCCAAUUGCAAGAUGGCACAAAAUACAGAGCCUUGCGCCUUUAAGCACCCGACUCAUGUCAUUCUCAGACUAACAUAACUUGCAACCGUGGCCUUUCUCUGGGAAUCUUGGACCUGGCUAGCGUCAAUCAUCCUGGACAGUAUUUAAUAAAACGUGUUUCAAAUUUAGGUCAAAA
This 1677-nucleotide long non-coding RNA is filed under the name Mus musculus (house mouse). RNAcentral's name for it is "predicted gene, 56700". The record is from RNAcentral. Lineage: Eukaryota; Metazoa; Chordata; Mammalia; Rodentia; Muridae.